This 271-nucleotide ribosomal RNA is filed under the name uncultured archaeon. Its description in RNAcentral is "partial 16S ribosomal RNA". It matches the Rfam family "Archaeal small subunit ribosomal RNA", at positions 477 to 747 of the family's 1478-position model. The record is from RNAcentral.
CUGCGCCACGAGUGGCAACCACUUUUAUUGGGCCUAAAGCGUCCGUAGCCGGUUUUGUAAAUUCUUUGUGAAAUCGUCAAGCCUAACUUGACGGUGUGCAGAGAAAACUGCAAGACUAGGGACCGGGAGGAGUCAGAGGUAUUUUUGGGGGAGCGGUAAAAUGCUAUAAUCCCAAAAGGACCACCUGUGGCGAAGGCGUCUGACUAGAACGGAUCCGACGGUGAGGGACGAAAGCCAGGGGAGCGAUCCGGAUUAGAUACCCGAGUAGUCC